This 570-nucleotide ribosomal RNA is filed under the name uncultured fungus. Its description in RNAcentral is "eukaryotic LSU rRNA". The stretch from base 208 to 361 matches the Rfam family "5.8S ribosomal RNA". The record is from RNAcentral. Lineage: Eukaryota; Fungi.
CGUAACAAGGUCUCCGUAGGUGAACCUGCGGAGGGAUCAUUACACAAAUAUGAAGGCGGGCUGGAACCUCUCGGGGUUACAGCCUUGCUGAAUUAUUCACCCUUGUCUUUUGCGUACUUCUUGUUUCCUUGGUGGGUUCGCCCACCACUAGGACAAACAUAAACCUUUUGUAAUUGCAAUCAGCGUCAGUAACAAAUUAAUAAUUACAACUUUCAACAACGGAUCUCUUGGUUCUGGCAUCGAUGGAGAACGCAGCGAAAUGCGAUAAGUAGUGUGAAUUGCAGAAUUCAGUGAAUCAUCGAAUCUUUGAACGCACAUUGCGCCCUUUGGUAUUCCAAAGGGCAUGCCUGUUCGAGCGUCAUUUGUACCCUCAAGCUUUGCUUGGUGUUGGGCGUCUUGUCUCUAGCUUUGCUGGAGACUCGCCUUAAAGUAAUUGGCAGCCGGCCUACUGGUUUCGGAGCGCAGCACAAGUCGCACUCUCUAUCAGCAAAGGUCUAGCAUCCAUUAAGCCUUUUUUUCAACUUUUGACCUCGGAUCAGGUAGGGAUACCCGCUGAACUUAAGCAUAUCA